Molecule: ribosomal RNA, 301 nt
Filed under: uncultured bacterium
Lineage: Bacteria
Description: partial 16S ribosomal RNA
Rfam family: Bacterial small subunit ribosomal RNA
Source: RNAcentral
CAGUAGCCGCGGGAAUACGGAGGGAGCUAGCGUUGUUCGGAAUUACUGGGCGUAAAGCGCACGUAGGCGGCUAUUCAAGUCAGAGGUGAAAGCCCGGGGCUCAACCCCGGAACUGCCUUUGAAACUAGAUAACUAGAAUCUUGGAGAGGUCAGUGGAAUUCCGAGUGUAGAGGUGAAAUUCGUAGAUAUUCGGAAGAACACCAGUGGCGAAGGCGACUGACUGGACAAGUAUUGACGCUGAGGUGCGAAAGCGUGGGGAGCAAACAGGAUUAGAUACCCCAGUAGUCCUGUCUCUUAUACA